Molecule: ribosomal RNA, 1279 nt
Filed under: metagenome
Description: bacterial LSU rRNA
Rfam family: Bacterial large subunit ribosomal RNA
Source: RNAcentral
GGUCCCGGGAAAUAGCCCCACCGUAUAGACCGUACCCGAAACCGACACAGGUGGUCAGGUAGAGUAUACCAAGGCGCUUGAGAGAAGUGUCCUGAAGGAACUCGGCAAAUUGCCUCCGUACUUUCGGAAGAAGGAGGCCCUCACUGAGCGCAAGCUUUUUGAGGGGGCACAGGCCAGGGGGUAGCGACUGUUUAGCAAAAACACAGGGCUCUGCUAAGUCGGCUUCAAGACGACGUAUAGGGUCUGACGCCUGCCCGGUGCCUGAAGGUUAAGUGGAGGGGUGCAAGCUCCGAAAUGAAGCCCAGGUAAACGGCGGCCGUAACGAUAACGGUCCUAAGGUAGCGAAAUUCCUUGUCGGGUAAGUUCCGACCUGCACGAAUGGCGUAACGACUUCCCCACUGUCUCCAGGACAUGCUCAGCGAAAUUGAAUUCUCCGUGAAGAUGCGGAGUACCCGCGGUUAGACGGAAAGACCCCGUGCACCUUUACUGCAGCUUCAGAGUGGCAUUAGGAAGGAACUGUGUAGAAUAGGUGGGAGGCUUUGAAGCAUUGGCGCCAGCUGAUGUGGAGCCGCAAUGUGAAAUACCACCCUGUUGUUUUCUGAUGUCUAACCUCGAUCCAUGAAACUGGAUCAGGGACCCUCUGUGGCGGGUAGUUUGACUGGGGCGGUCGCCUCCUAAAGAGUAACGGAGGCGCGCGAAGGUUGGCUCAGGACGGUUGGAAACCGUCUGUUAGAGUGCAAUGGCAUAAGCCAGCCUGACUGCGAGACUGACAAGUCGAGCAGAGACGAAAGUCGGUCAUAGUGAUCCGGUGGUCCCUCGUGGAAGGGCCAUCGCUCAACGGAUAAAAGGUACGCCGGGGAUAACAGGCUGAUAACCCCCAAGAGCUCAUAUCGACGGGGUUGUUUGGCACCUCGAUGUCGGCUCAUCACAUCCUGGGGCUGGAGCAGGUCCCAAGGGUUUGGCUGUUCGCCAAUUAAAGUGGCACGUGAGCUGGGUUCAGAACGUCGCGAGACAGUUGGUCCCUAUCUGCCGUGGGCGUCGAAAUUUGAGAGGAGUUGACCCUAGUACGAGAGGACCGGGUUGAACAUACCUCUGGUGUACCUGUCGUUCCGCCAGGAGCGCAGCAGGGUAGCUAUGUAUGGACGGGAUAACCGCUGAAAGCAUCUAAGCGGGAAGCCUCCCUCGAGAUAAGAUUUCUUAGGACGGUCGGAGACCACGACCUUGAUAGAUCGGAUGUAGAAGUGCGGUAACGCAUGGAGCUAACCGAUACUAAUUGUCC